CAGGGAAUCUUGCACAAUGGGCGAAAGCCUGAUGCAGCGACGCCGCGUGGGGGAUGAAGGCCUUAGGGUCGUAAACCCCCUUCAGCAGGGACGAAAAUGACGGUACCUGCAGAAGAAGCCCCGGCCAACUACGUGCCAGCAGCCGCGGUAAGACGUAGGGGGCGAGCGUUGUCCGGAUUUAUUGGGCGUAAAGAGCUCGUAGGCGGUUGCGUAAGUCGGAUGUGAAACUCAGGGCUCAACCCUGAGACGCCAUCCGAUACUGCGCUGACUUGAAUCCAGUAGGGGAGUGUGGAAUUCCUGGUGUAGCGGUGAAAUGCGCAGAUAUCAGGAGGAACACCCAUGGCGAAGGCAGCACUCUGGGCUGGUAUUGACGCUGAGGAGCGAAAGCAUGGGUAGCGAACAGGAUUAGAUACCCCCGUAGUCCCUGANCGGGCUGGCAAG
RNAcentral lists this ribosomal RNA (441 nucleotides) under uncultured bacterium. Its description in RNAcentral is "bacterial SSU rRNA". It matches the Rfam family "Bacterial small subunit ribosomal RNA", at positions 355 to 819 of the family's 1533-position model. The record is from RNAcentral.